RNAcentral lists this ribosomal RNA (392 nucleotides) under uncultured bacterium. Its description in RNAcentral is "bacterial SSU rRNA". It matches the Rfam family "Bacterial small subunit ribosomal RNA", at positions 29 to 411 of the family's 1533-position model. The record is from RNAcentral.
AAUGAACGCUGGCGGCGCGCCUAAUACAUGCAAGUCGAGCGAGAAGACGUAGCAAUACGUUUGUAAAGCGGCGAACGGGUGAGGAAUACAUGGGUAACCUACCCUCGAGUGGGGAAUAACUAGCCGAAAGGUUAGCUAAUACCGCGUACGCUCCUUGGACUUCGGUUCAGGGAGGAAAGCGAUACCGUGGGUAUCGCGCUCUUGGUUGGGCUCAUGUCCUAUCAGCUUGUUGGUGAGGUAACGGCUCACCAAGGCUUCGACGGGUAGCUGGUCUGAGAGGACGAUCAGCCACACUGGCACUGCGACACGGGCCAGACUCCUACGGGAGGCAGCAGUAAGGAAUAUUGCGCAAUGGGCGAAAGCCUGACGCAGCGACGCCGCGGUGGGGGAGU